UCUUCUUUCUGACCCUUCUUCGGUAAUAAUACUUUCUUGACAUUCGUAACCUUCACAAAAGCUUUACGAAUGAAUCCCGCCACCGUCCCGCCACCGCUGUCGCCGGCGGAGGCGCCGCAGCACUCUGCUUCAGGAAACCUUGAGAGUAUCACGGAAAUCAUCAACCGACUACUUCCUUCGACUCUCUCCAUCACCUGUUUUGCGUCCAGAUGGCAAGUUCUUCGCGGUAAGCUAAUUUCUCUGAAAUCGGUGCUGAACGAAAUCGUCGAUUCGCCUCACUGGACGGAGAAUCCUCUCCUUCCGCAGCUGCUGCCUUCCUUGCUGGCUACCGUACAGCGCACCGAAACGUUGUCUCAGUAUUGCUCCGGCGGAUCAGUUAGCCGCGGGAAGCUUUUGAUGCAAUCCGACCUUGAUAUGGCCGCUGGUUGGCUAUCGAGGCAAAUGAAUGACCUCGAGCUGCUGCUUCGCUCCGGCGUUCUGCAUCAGUCCACCGCCAUUGUUUUGUCGCGCCCCAAUCCGAGUUCUUCGAAGGAGGAACUUACUUUUUUCGUCAAGGACCUAUUCACUAGGCUUCAGAUCGGUGGACAGGAUUUCAAGCGGAAGGCGUUGGAUUCGCUGAUUGAGCUCCUGACGGAGGAUGAUAAGUCCGCAGCUGUUGUAGCGAAGGAAGGGAAUGUAAGUUUUCUGGUUUCCCUGCUCGAUCUGAAUUCUAAUGAUUCAAUCCGAGAAUUGGCGGUUCACGUUGUUUCCUUGCUCGUUUCCGCGGGAGAUGUGCCCCGGAAAUGCGUAUUUGAGGAAGGCGCUUUGGGGCCUUUGCUGAAAAUGAUCGAUUGCAGUUCGAUGCCUAUGAAGGAAAAGGCCGCCAUGGCUGUGGAAUACAUUACUUCCGAUCCAGAUAACGCUUGGGCGAUUUCCGCUUAUGGUGGUGUCCCGAUUCUUAUGGAAUUGUGUAAAUCUGGCUCUAUGCCAUCACAAUCACAUGCCGUUGGGGCGAUAAGAAACGUUUCAACAGUGGAAGAUAUUCGCAUUUCGUUGGCUGAAGAAGGAAUUGUUCCCGUUUUGAUGCAGUUGCUUGAUUCUGGGAACUCCUCUGCGCAAGCAAAAGCAGCCAACUGUAUAUCAAUUCUUGCAUCAACAGGUGAGCAUUUUCGCAGCUUGUUGUUGCAGGAAAAGGCCCUGCCAAAGUUGUUACAAUUAUUUCAUGAAUGCUCGACGGCGGAUACUUUAGAAUCUGUAUUGGGUGCAAUUAGUUCAGUAUCUGCCUCGGAUGCCAGCUACCGAUAUUUAUCUAGAUCUAAUUUAUUCGUCUUACGAAUUUCGGAGCUUGUAAAGCAUGGAAACCUAGUUAGGCUGCAGCAUAUGGCUGCAUCUUUGCUUGCUAAGUUACCAAUUAGUGAUGGUACUAAAAUGGGCAUUGCUGGAUGCAUGAGUUGCUUGAUGAAGCUAAUGGAGACAGUAAAGCCGGAUGGGAUUCAAGAGGUUGGGGCCAAGGCAUUGAUUUCAUUACUGUCUGUUAAAGCUAACAGGAAAGAAUUGGUGAGGGAUGAGAAGAGUGUGAUGAGGUUGGUGCAGAUGCUGGAUCCUAAAAACGACGCAGUAUCAAAGAAGUUUCCCGUUGCUGUGGUGGCGGCUAUAAUGGGUGGAGGCAGCCAGAGUUGUAGGAAGAAGCUUGUGGAAGCAGGUGCUUACGGGCAUUUGCAAAGAUUGGUAGACAUGGAUGUGGCUGGAGCGAAAAAGGCUCUGCAGAGGCUCUCUGGGAAUAGGCUUACGAGCAUAUUCUCAAGGUCUUGGAGGGAUUAUUAGUUAACCAACAAAUUCCUGCCGUGCCAGCAUUGCAGCUAUUUACUUUCCUGAAUUGUUAAAUAGUUGACUAGCUGAGCUGAGCUGAGCCGAGCAGAUUGAGGAGACCGAUCAAGAACAUCCAACAGUCACCCUGCUGCACAGUGAAAUGAAGACACAAAACAGGACAGCCGGUAUAAUACCUUAAACCUUAACAUUCCAUAGUAUUAUACUACUUUUUCUGUGCAUUUUAUGCGAAAAAAGAAAAAUAAAAAAAAUGGGUUUGUGAUCAGACUUGAGAACAAAAGAAAAACCAAGAAGGGUAGGGGGGGUUGUGUCUAAUUUAUUAGACCAUGACAUGGAUGCAAUUUUAGUGAGUAUCCCUGUUUCAGAAUUCAUAUAUAUAUAUAUAUAUAUAUAGAGAGAGAGAGAGAGAGAUGGUCUCAUAUAUAACAACAGUCUGAUUAUAUAUAUAUAUACAUAUUCAUGUAUUGAGAGUGAAAGAGAUUGUAUGUCUUCUUGUUUGGUUGUUUGUCUAUGUGAUUCAUUUUCUUUGUAAUGCCUUUUGGUUUGUAUAGAAAAUCUGGGUUUGUUUCUACUGCUAUGUUUAUGACUAUAUAUAUACUACAAGUGUGUAAAUGUUUGUAUGUAUUUUUAUUCGAUUAAACCGAUGAUGCUGUAUGCCUAAAGUAAUUUAUAAUUUA
RNA transcript from Andrographis paniculata, 2483 nucleotides. It is a transcript of the gene named protein CELLULOSE SYNTHASE INTERACTIVE 1-like, with no coding region annotated. The record is from RefSeq and is a predicted model, not a curated record. NCBI's taxonomy places the organism in Eukaryota, Viridiplantae, Streptophyta, Magnoliopsida, Lamiales, Acanthaceae. The transcript is spliced from 3 exons.